AGCAGCCGCGGUAAUUCCAGCUCCAAUAGCGUAUAUUAAAGUUGUUGCAGUUAAAAAGCUCGUAGUUGAAUUUCGGAAUCUGUCCGUUGGUCGGGCUUCAUUGUCCGUACUGGUGUGAUGGGUUCUUACCUUCUGAAUAACCAGCAUGCCAUUCAUUUGGUGCGUUGGGGAAGCAGGACUAUUACCUUGAAAAAAUUAGAGUGCUCAAAGCAGGCUAGUGCCUGAAUACAUUAGCAUGGAAUAAUAAAAUAGGACGGCAUGGUUCUAUUUUGUUGGUUUCUAGGAUCACCGUAAUGAUUAAUAGGGAUAGUUGGGGGCAUUAGUAUUCAAUUGUCAGAGGUGAAAUUCUUGGAUUUAUUGAAGACUAACUUCUGCGAAAGCAUUUGCCAAGGAUGUUUUCAUUAAUCAAGAACGAAAGUUAGGGGAUCGAAGACGAUCAGAUACCGUCGUAGUCUUAACCAUAAACUAUGCCGACUAGGGAUCGNANGGAUGUUAAUUUUUUAAUGACUCG
Molecule: ribosomal RNA, 511 nt
Filed under: uncultured Glomeromycotina
Lineage: Eukaryota; Fungi; Glomeromycota
Description: SSU rRNA
Rfam family: Eukaryotic small subunit ribosomal RNA
Source: RNAcentral